Molecule: long non-coding RNA, 3112 nt
Organism: Bacillus rossius redtenbacheri
Lineage: Eukaryota; Metazoa; Arthropoda; Insecta; Phasmatodea; Bacillidae
Exons: 5
Source: RefSeq, a predicted model, not a curated record
AGUUGCUAUGUUAGUGCUUCCGGAAUUUAGGCGGGACGUAAAAUCGGUUAGAGAUUUAUCCAAAUGUGUUUGAGUAGUAAAGUUGUAUGUCUUGUUCAACGUCUUGUUAGUUAUGGUAACAGAUUUAAUUCUAACAGAAAAAAUGCUUACAGAUGUUGAAAACGUGGUAGUCGGAAAGCCAAAAUCUCAGUCGCCUGCUAAAUCUGAAAAAAAUGUUAUCACCAGAAGAUCGCUAAGGAAUUUGCAACCAACGGCAACAGAUAAAGAGAACCUAGUUGGUGGGGGAAUGAUGCCUACUCCUAUCAAAGAUCACAUGAAGACAAUUUCCGGAACCUUUGAAAAAAGGAGUUUAUUGGAUGAGCAACCAAAUAGUUCAAAGAGUGGUGAAUACAGAAAGAAGAAACUCAUUAAUAAAUAUGUCCAAACAGAAGAAGAAAAGUUGGUGAUAAGUGCUGAGGAUCUUACUACCAAAGGAACCCCAAGCAUAAAAUACUGGAAGUCUUUGGCCAAUACAAAACAAGCUUCUCUGGAGAAAGUUUUGGUAGAGAACAGCAAAUUAAAAGAAAAGAUUUUUCUUUUAGAAGAGGAGGUCAAGAAUUAUAAGAUAAUGCUAUCAGAAUCAGAAGAUUUGGUCAGUACAUUGAAGGAAUUGCUGGAUUGCCCUCAAGAUUCUGAGGCUGAUACGGAAACUCGAGAAGACGAAAAUGUUGCAGAAAGUGAAUGACUUAAGUGUUGUGCCAAAGUAAACUGUUUUAGCUGUUAAGACACGUUUUUUAAAAAUUCCCGUUUACAUUGGCUCAGCAUUGGCCAUAUAUGACCAUAAAUUGGCCAGAAUAAUAAUUAGUUGAUGCAUUAAGAUGUGCUUUUAUGUGGUAAGUUAUUUUUUAGCUGUAAAUGUUUUGCAGAAGUAACAUUUUAAAUAUAUCUUUAAUAUGUAAUGGCAUAUAAAAUAUUUCAUUUUUAUUAAUUUAUACAUAUGGUUGGUAUGCUGUGAGAUAUGGUACUUUGUCACAUGUUCUAGUAUUGUAUUCAAAACCUUAGUACUUGACUUGAAAGUUACUUUUUCAAACUACUAUUGCAUUAGCUGAAAAAGAUUAAUUUAAACCUCGGUGGAAAGCUAGGUAUCUGUUCCGAAGUUGAAGAUACUCUUGUUAUCAAAACAAACUGUAGCCAUAUAAAAGCUAAACAUUUGUUCUGUAGCUUGUAAGGAAAUCAAGAAGAGAAAUAAAAGAUGAAGUUUGUGUUGUUAAACAAAGAUGUUAACACAUCAGCAAGCAGUUAGCAUUAAACUUUGUUGUAGCCUAUUAUAGUUUUGAUAUCUACAAGGAGGGAAGGGUAGUUAUCAUUUUUACUUCAAUUUUUAACAUAACAAAAAUUGCAUACACCAAAUCAUGAACUUUCCUGCUGUCAUGGUAAAGUGUGUGGAGAUGCAAAUUCUUAAGUUUGGGAUAAAGUUGCAAAUUUUAGAUCCCUGGUUUACUAAAAAUGGGCAGAACAUGAAAUUACAAACUCCCAACGUUCAAAAUUUAGUUAAAGCUGUAAGUUUCAAAAUGGCCAGAAUUUUUUGGAUAGAGAGUAUAUUAGAAAUACAGCACAGAACUACAGUGAAAUUUAUAUUGACUUGUCCACUUCUUGCUAAUUUUAGCAUUGAUAACAAAUCUUACCACCUGACAAGAGACUCAUGUAGUAGGUGAGUGAUAGGAUCAUCUUUGAUAGUUGCUUACUAAAAAUGUAAAAAUAUAUCUUUCUGAGAACAUAUGUGAACCAGACACUGGGUAGUUGAAACUGCCUAGCAUAUUUUUGUCCCUAUUAUGUACAGUGGAUUAUGAUUUCAACCAUUAGUACUUAAAACUCAUUCUUGUACCUUCUUGGCCAUACUUGUACGUAUAAGCUUAAUAUUUGGGACUGUUCAAAUAUCAUAUUUUUGGUAUUUGAUUAAAUGUUUAGCUAAAAAAUUGGUUAUUCUUUAUUGAUUUUUAUAUAGAGUUUAAUAUAAUUGGGAAGUCAGUCAACAGAUUGAAAUCACAGUAAGAUUUAUUUCACAUUUAAAAGCAAACACUUCAGGCUUCAUAUAAAAUUAAUUAACUCCCAAAUGCAUUGCACAAAAUUAACAGAUUUUGUUGGCGACACCAAGAUUAAAAACAUUUUUGAGCCUCUAAUUUGAAUUACUAAUUCUUAUAAUGAUGUGUUUUGGUCUCAAGUCAAAACUCUUAUGAACAGUAGUUGGCUAAUGGCAUCUGAAUUUUCAUUGAUUAAUGUUAAUGGGGCCAGAUAUUGUCCCAACUAAUCAGAAAAUUGUUAAUAGGUGUUCAUUGUCGCUGUGGUUAAGGCAUUAAACCAUUUUUUUUGUGUCUACCAUUAGAAUGUACAAAUUUGCUACAACCAUUUAGAAAUUUAAAAAAAUUGGUGAUACAUAUUCAAUAAUUGGUUGGUUGUGUCUGUUACUUUGACAGAAACUGCAAAAAUGUAUCAUGUACACAUCACAUGCAGUAGAACCCUGUUAUAAUGUUUUUCAAGGGAGCACAAGAAAAAAACAUUAUAAGCAGGAAAUCUCAAUUUAGCACUUAACAAUGUUCGAGCUUUGUACCAAUGGACUCACAAAGGUAUGUAAACAACUUUAAUGUUAAAACCAAAGAAAGUAUACUUGAUAGGUACAUGAAUUUACUGAAACAAGCCAACAAUUUUUCAACUUCGUCUUGUUCCCUGGUUAAAUUUUGUUUGUCUUUAAAGAUACACUGCCACAUUUUUUGUAAAAUUGUCUCACGAUUCAUGACAACAUUCAGAGUGAGAACGUCUACUCCUUCGCCACCUGAAAAUGUUUAAUUUUGGGAUUCCUACGUAUGAAUGAAGAAAAAAAAAUUAUUUGUAAGCAAUAGAAAACACUUUUAGUUAUGCACUCAAUGGUUGGCAACUUAAAUAUUGUAGGACUAUGUACGUGCAUCUGAAUACCCACUGGAAUGGCAAGGAAGAGAAGUUGACUAAGGGUGCCAACUGACACGUAACUAUGAACAUUGUGUACCUUCAGUAUAUUGCAUAAAAUUGUAUUUUAACAAACUUCAUGUAUUGUAUGGCAGUGAUUGUAAACCUACAUAAAGGAAACUUUUUAUCGUAA